GACGAACGCUGGCGGCGUGCUUAACACAUGCAAGUCGAACGGAAAGGCCCUGCUUUUGUGGGGUGCUCGAGUGGCGAACGGGCGAGUAACACGUGAGUAACCUGCCCUUGACUUUGGGAUAACUUCAGGAAACUGGGGCUAAUACCGGAUAGGAGCUCCUGCUGCAUGGUGGGGGUUGGAAAGUUUCGGCGGUUGGGGAUGGACUCGCGGCUUAUCAGCUUGUUGGUGGGGUAGUGGCUUACCAAGGCUUUGACGGGUAGCCGGCCUGAGAGGGUGACCGGCCACAUUGGGACUGAGAUACGGCCCAGACUCCUACGGGAGGCAGCAGUGGGGAAUAUUGCACAAUGGGCGGAAGCCUGAUGCAGCAACGCCUCGUGCGGGAUGACGGCCUUCGGGUUGUAAACCGCUUUCGCCUGUGACGAAGCGUGAGUGACGGUAAUGGGUAAGAAGCACCGGCUAACUACGUG
This 467-nucleotide ribosomal RNA is filed under the name uncultured bacterium. RNAcentral's name for it is "partial 16S ribosomal RNA". It matches the Rfam family "Bacterial small subunit ribosomal RNA", at positions 28 to 507 of the family's 1533-position model. The record is from RNAcentral.